Molecule: microRNA precursor, 120 nt
Filed under: Gossypium hirsutum (cotton)
Lineage: Eukaryota; Viridiplantae; Streptophyta; Magnoliopsida; Malvales; Malvaceae
Also listed under: 1 other name
Description: MIR7502 microRNA precursor family
Rfam family: MIR7502 microRNA precursor family
Source: Rfam by way of RNAcentral
UAUUAAAAAAUUCAUUCAUUUGUAUUGUUAAAAGUUGGUGGACACGUAACGUGCCACAUGUACCUUAUACUGAUGUAUAAAGAUCAAUUUUUAAUAAUAGAGCUAGAUGGAAUUUUUACA